This 377-nucleotide ribosomal RNA is filed under the name uncultured delta proteobacterium. RNAcentral's name for it is "bacterial SSU rRNA". It matches the Rfam family "Bacterial small subunit ribosomal RNA", at positions 521 to 896 of the family's 1533-position model. The record is from RNAcentral. Lineage: Bacteria; Deltaproteobacteria.
UAAUACGGAGGGUGCAAGCGUUGUUCGGAAUCACUGGGCGUAAAGGGCGCGCAGGCGGUUUGRUAAGUCAGAUGUGAAAGCCCACGGCUCAACCGUGGAAGUGCAUUUGAAACUGYYARACUUGAGUACCAGAGGGGAAAGUGGAAUUCCCGGUGUAGAGGUGAAAUUCGUAGAUAUCGGGAGGAAUACCGGUGGCGAAGGCGACUUUCUGGCUGGAUACUGACGCUGAGGCGCGAAAGCGUGGGGAGCAAACAGGAUUAGAUACCCUGGUAGUCCACGCCGUAAACGAUGUCAACUAGGUGUAGGUGGUGUUGAUCCCUUCAGUGCCGGAGCUAACGCAUUAAGUUGACCGCCUGGGGAGUACGGUCGCAAGAUUA